CUUUUUCUUCCGGUUGAGUCUAGUUUGUCUUCACUCUUUGAACACUUGGAGACAGGAAUUAAUUCCCCUGGUCACUGUGUCACUCAUUUGUCAGCUCACUCGGCUGCUCACCACAUCCAUGUGUUCCCAUCUUUAUUUAGCUCAGCCUUUUUUUUUUCAAGCAAGAAGGGAGAUUUCUUAGGAGAACAUAGACAGCCCAAGGACAAGCAGAGAAUAGAGUAGCUGGUCCUCCCCAAAGAUGGGAGCCAGCAACUGUUUAAGACAUGAGAAGCCAAGCCUGCUGUAUCUUUUGGCCAUUCUGGCGUCACACAUUCACUCACCUCUGCUCCUCUUUGUACAUCACUAGACCCUUCCAUCUUUUAAAUCUCUUGGCUUCUCUCCGUUUCCACUGCCAUGACCCUAGUGUAAAGUACUUUUCUUUUUUUUUUGCCUGGGAAACUGAGGCAGCCUCCUGAAUUUUCUCCCGAAUCCCACCCUUGCCCAUUUCCAAUCUGUGUCUCUCACUACAGCCAGAGGGAUUUUUAGAAAUGAACAGUUUAUUCAACAGAUUUCACUGAUCCUAGGAAAGACGUCAAACUCAUAAGCACGAUAGAGACAGACUGCUCUGUCAACCUGAGUGCAGAGGGGAGAGGAGACGAAGGAGAGCCACAUGUGCAUGUAGUCUGAGACAUAAAGAAACUUUAUUGUAGGCCA
This is a long non-coding RNA of Leopardus geoffroyi (Geoffroy's cat), 693 nucleotides long. RefSeq lists it as uncharacterized. Lineage: Eukaryota; Metazoa; Chordata; Mammalia; Carnivora; Felidae. The record is from RefSeq and is a predicted model, not a curated record. The transcript is spliced from 2 exons.